RNAcentral lists this ribosomal RNA (478 nucleotides) under uncultured eukaryote. RNAcentral describes it as "bacterial SSU rRNA". It matches the Rfam family "Eukaryotic small subunit ribosomal RNA", at positions 197 to 676 of the family's 1831-position model. The record is from RNAcentral.
CUGCAGGCUCCUCUCGGGGAACCGUGCGGGUCCCGGUCUCAACGAUGGUGAUUCAUGAUAACUCUGCGGAUCGCACGGUCUCCGAACCGGCGACGAUUCAUUCAAAUUCUGCCCUAUCAACUUUGAUGGUAGGAUAGAGGCCUACCAUGGUGGCGACGGGUAACGGAGAAUUAGGGUUCGAUUCCGGAGAGGGAGCCUGAGAAAUGGCUACCACUUCCAAGGAAGGCAGCAGGCGCGCAAAUUACCCAAUCCCGACCCGGGGAGGUAGUGACAAUAAAUAUCGAUGCAGGACCCGAACAGGGUCUUGUAAUUGGAAUGAGAACAAUCCAAACCCCUUAACGAGUAACCAUUAGAGGGCAAGUCUGGUGCCAGCAGCCGCGGUAAUUCCAGCUCUAAUAGCGUAUAUUAAAGUUGUUGCGGUUAAAAAGCUCGUAGUUGGAUCUCGGGGUGGAAUCAAAAAGGGGGAGGGGAAAGGGAG